UGGGUUAAGUCCCGCAACGAGCGCAACCCUUAUCCUUGUUUGCCAGCACUUCGGGUGGGAACUCCAGGGAGACUGCCGGUGAUAAACCGGAGGAAGGUGGGGACGACGUCAAGUCAUCAUGGCCCUUACGAGUAGGGCUACACACGUGCUACAAUGGCGCAUACAGAGGGCGGCCAACUUGCGAGAGUGAGCGAAUCCCAAAAAGUGCGUCGUAGUCCGGAUCGGAGUCUGCAACUCGACUCCGUGAAGUCGGAAUCGCUAGUAAUCGUGGAUCAGAAUGCCACGGUGAAUACGUUCCCGGGCCUUGUACACACCGCCCGU
This 321-nucleotide ribosomal RNA is filed under the name uncultured bacterium. RNAcentral describes it as "bacterial SSU rRNA". It matches the Rfam family "Bacterial small subunit ribosomal RNA", at positions 1076 to 1397 of the family's 1533-position model. The record is from RNAcentral.